GACGAACGCUGGCGGCGUGCCUAAUACAUGCAAGUAGAACGCUGAAGAGAGGAGUUUACUCUUCUUGGAUGAGUUGCGAACGGGUGAGUAACGCGUAGGUAACCUGCCUUGUAGCGGGGGAUAACUAUUGGAAACGAUAGCUAAUACCGCAUAACAAUGGAUGACACAUGUCAUUUAUUUGAAAGGGGCACUUGCUCCACUACAAGAUGGACCUGCGUUGUAUUAGCUAGUAGGUGAGGUAAUGGCUCACCUAGGCGACGAUACAUAGCCGACCUGAGAGGGUGAUCGGCCACACUGGGACUGAGACACGGCCCAGACUCCUACGGGAGGCAGCAGUAGGGAAUCUUCGGCAAUGGGGGCAACCCUGACCGAGCAACGCCGCGUGAGUGAAGAAGGUUUUCGGAUCGUAAAGCUCUGUUGUAAGUCAAGAACGGGUGUGAGAGUGGAAAGUUCACACUGUGACGGUAGCUUACCAGAAAGGGACGGCUAACUACGUG
RNAcentral lists this ribosomal RNA (497 nucleotides) under uncultured bacterium. RNAcentral describes it as "partial 16S ribosomal RNA". It matches the Rfam family "Bacterial small subunit ribosomal RNA", at positions 28 to 507 of the family's 1533-position model. The record is from RNAcentral.